This 87-nucleotide transfer RNA is filed under the name Cordylochernes scorpioides. RNAcentral describes it as "tRNA-Tyr". Lineage: Eukaryota; Metazoa; Arthropoda; Arachnida; Pseudoscorpiones; Chernetidae. The record is from RNAcentral.
UCCCUCGAGCCGGAUUUGAACCAGCGACCUAAGGAAUACCGUUGUAACAUCUACAGUCCUCCGCUCUGCCAACUGAGCUAUCGAGGG